GGGGUUGGGGAUUUAGCUCAUCGGUAGAGCACUUGCCUAGCAAGCACAAGGCCCUGGGUUCGGUCCCCAGCUCCG
RNAcentral lists this transfer RNA (75 nucleotides) under Rattus norvegicus (Norway rat). It matches the Rfam family "tRNA". From Rfam's summary of the family: Transfer RNA (tRNA) molecules are approximately 80 nucleotides in length. Lineage: Eukaryota; Metazoa; Chordata; Mammalia; Rodentia; Muridae. The record is from RNAcentral.